This 185-nucleotide unclassified non-coding RNA is filed under the name fungal sp. RNAcentral describes it as "partial internal transcribed spacer region". The stretch from base 1 to 46 matches the Rfam family "Eukaryotic small subunit ribosomal RNA", at positions 1786 to 1831 of the family's 1831-position model. The record is from RNAcentral. Lineage: Eukaryota; Fungi.
AAGUCGUAACAAGGUAUCCGUAGGUGAACCUGCGGAUGGAUCAUUAACAAUAGUAUAUCUAUACUAACUAACACUUGUGAACUGUAUGGAACUUACCAUUCCAUUUUAUUUUUAUUUUUAUUUUUAUACUGAAUACAUGAUAUAUAACAAUCAUAAAACUUUUAGCAACGGAUCUCUAGGCUUUC